This 20145-nucleotide long non-coding RNA is filed under the name Triticum aestivum (bread wheat). RNAcentral's name for it is "long non-coding RNA (TAES_LNC023165)". The record is from RNAcentral. Lineage: Eukaryota; Viridiplantae; Streptophyta; Magnoliopsida; Poales; Poaceae.
UCAAUCUUUGUUCGUACAACUAGCCUUUGUUUUCAAGAGAAAAACGCCGUGCAUGAUCGAGCGGACAAGCUCCAUGGCGACGUCUACGUCUAUACAUAUACCCACAAAAGUACGUUUGUACAAUGAAGGAGUACGUGCACGUACCUUUCCUCCAAAAACCAGCAAUCAUUGCAACACCCACAAAAGUUAACGAGCCAAGCCCAGCUCGGAGGCGUGCUGCGUGGGGAGCGGCUAGAGGUUAAUCGACUGACCCAAUAAUGUGGUCAGCCAAAUACUAGUACAGACUAAAAGAGAAAAAAAAAAGAAGAAAACUGACUGACCCAAAUUUAGGGUCAGUCGACCAUCCCAACAACAAAACUAACUGAUUCAACGCUGAAAACUUCUGUUGGCUUGCCGUGCGUUCUUUCCAGCCCAAGAAUGUGAUGGGCCUGAACCCGCUAAGGAACCGAACCUAUUACACUCAAAACAACUUGAUUCAGCUGACACAUAGAUUAUCCUAAAAAAAAAGAAGCUCACACACAGAUUGCUAGGUCUACUUCCUUCCUCAUCCUUCCCCGAUCACCACACACAACCGUCGCCAUGGUUGGAGAAAGAAAAGCUCAGAUGUGUUGUUGUCUUGUGAUGUCUCCAUAGAUCUUCUUCCUCCCAUUUCUUCCUUCCAACCUCCUUCUCCUCUGAUCGCCCAAAUUUCUGCAGGCACCAGAAGAAAUGGUUGAAACUUCAGAUCCUACCCAAAACACAGAUCUAUCAAAAGGAAAAGCAAAAGGAAGAAAGAAGAAACCUGCAAACCAAGGUGCGGUGCCUGUGAUCUGUCCCCCCUCCCCUCUUAAUUUUUUCUGUGUCGUGCAACUUACGUGAUGACCUGACAUUUUCAUGUAACAACAACAGUAAAUUUAGAGAAGGAAGCAAGAAUGCAAAAAAUGAGUGUUUCAUAUAAAAUAUUAAACCCAUGCAAAAUCAUGUAGAUGGCAUGCUAUAACUUCUGAAUCUUGCUAUAACUUCUGAUUAGAUGACAUGUUUGUAUUGUACUAGAACUUGUUAAACUACAAGUAGUGUUUAACAAGUAAUGGCAGAAAACCUCCCUAAAGGCAGAAUAAACAAAUUCCAUAUAGUAACUACAUUUGCAUAUUCAGACAAGUAAGCUUGCAGUUGUUGUGAAAUGGGAAGAUGAAAGAAACUAUACUAUGAGAAUGCAUGCAUAUAUAAAAAAAUAUAACCACCACAUAUUUAGCUUGUUGUACUAGAAAAUGUUUAACACCAAGUAAAAGCAUAACACCUACCUGAAGGCGGAAAUUCAGAAAAUCCUCAUAUAAACUAAAUUUGCAUAUUCAGAGAAGUAAGCUUGCAGUUGUUGUCUAAUAGCAACAUACAAGAACUGUACUAAGAGCAUGCAUACAUAUUUAUAGAAAAGAUAACCACAACAUGUUUACCUGGUUGUACUAGAGAAAUGUUUACCUACAAGUAAUGGCAGAACAACUCCCCUAAUGGCACCAAUUAAAAAAACAUAUAUAAACUAAAUUUGCAUAUUCAGAGAAAUAAAGUUGCACUUCUUGACAAAUAGAAACAUACAAGAAAUAUUACUACGAGCAUGCAUGCAUAUUCACAGAAAAGAUAACCACGACAUCUACACCUGGUUGUGCAAAAGUAGUUGUUAAACUACAAGUAAAUGCAGAACACCUCCCUCAAGGGAGAAAUUACACAAGUUCAUAUAGGAACUAAAUUUGCAUAGUCACAAAACUAAACUUGCACUAAUUGUCGAAUAGCAACAUACAAGAACUAUUUCUACGAGCAUUUACAGAAAGAUAAUUACAACACCUACAGUGGGUACCUCCAUAAAGGUAGAAUUUAGAAAUUCCAUCUAGGAACUAAAUUUGCACAUUCAGACAACUAAACUUGCAGUCGUCAUCAAGAGCAACAAAAGUACUUAGAGAUAACCAUAACAAGUAGAUCUAGUUAUGAAAGUAGUUGGUAAACUACAAGGAAGGCAUAAUGCCUACUUACAAGCUUAAUUUAAAAUUUGUGCAGAUGGAUAACCGUACUUGCGCUUGUUGUUCAAGAGCAACAUAUAAUAGUAGAAGUUGCAACAUAUAAUACAACAGAGGUGAAGCACCAAACCUUCAACAACAUAUUCACAUAACUGAGUUGCAUGUUCAGAUAACCAAAAACUUUUUUUAAACGAGGCAAAAGAUUUGCCAUUUUCAUUGAUUAAGAGGAAGAGAGAUGCCCAGUUAAUUAGAGGAAAACCGGGCAAAAACCUAGAUUACAAACCCCACAUGGGGCACAUGCGGACGACCUGGCUAGCCAAAGAAGCCAAACAAUCGACCGCAGACGUCGAGGACCGACAUCUCCGAUUUUGCUAUUGCGCAUCACAGGAGAAAGUUUAAUCAUGAUGCAAAAACUUUAGACAUGCAUCUUCUAGCAAGCAAAUAGCAAGUUGUUUUCCAUAAUUAAGGAACAAGUUCAUGAUUGAAACUGAUUUUGCAUUUUCAGGCAAGUAAAAUUGCAGCAAAUGUUCAAGAGCAAGAACAAUAUGAGAAUGCAGAUAGACGAGAAGACAACAAGGUAAGGACACGUAUCUAAAGUUUUACUAUUACACUUAUUUCUUCCUAAUCUGACAUUUUCAAAACAUGUACAAUACAAAAUAUUUGAUAUGAAAUUUUUUUAGGUGCUGAAUCCAGAUCAAGGGAAUGAACAUGCAACAUAUGAGGUUAGUUUACAUUCUUUUCGAAUUUAUGAUGAUAACAAAGGAAUCAAAAAGAACUAACCUCUGGAUGAAGCUUGCAUUACAGGAGGCAGUGCUUGCACAAAGCUAUGCGGGACAAGAAGGUCAAUAUUACACCACAAAACAAAAGGAAUUAAGUAAAUAGGUGAAAUAUAACACUAUAUAAUAUUGCAUAAAAAAUGUAUGCACAUUUUUACAUGUACCUAAAGAACUUGAUAUCUGAUUUAUAUUUUGCAGGAAUUAGUUGAAGUUCAGUUUGGGAAGCAAAAUUUCCAAAUGAUUAAUGAGCUGCUAGCACCAGAAGGAGCCACAUAAUCUUACACAGAACUCAUGCAACAAAUGACUGAGGAGUCAUCUUCAAAGUGACAACAUGGCAAUCCCUAUAACUUGUUUCACUUCACUCUUACAUGCAAGAAUAAAUGCUGAGGUAUGCGUUAUUACUAAAACCUAUAUUCAAAGUUUUGAAAGAAGUUCAUUAGUACAGUAGCAGUACCUAAAAAUAAAUUAACUUGCAGGAUCAACAUCUCAUGACAGAAGAAAUAACAAGGAACCAUUUGGAACAACAUGUCGACUGGGACCAAUAUUCAAUACUCAAGUAGAAGAAGAAGAUGAAGUUGAAGAUGAAGACGAAGAUGAAGAUGAAGCAAAUGAGUGUACUUUUGAAUGUAGCAAUGAUCCAAAUCAAUCUGAUUUAGAGGAAGAUUACCUAGAACAAAAUACAAUAAGUUGUCAUCAGUUGCCUGCAGAUAAUGGGGAUUCAUGAUUGCACCUAAUAGAGCAGAGUUGAAACAAUUAUGAAUUAGUUACUGAGCAAGAACUAUACAUAACUGAAAAAGAGGUAUUUGUGUUGGGGAACGUAGUAAUUUCAAAAAAUUUCCUACGCACACGCAAGAUCAUGGUGAUGAUAUAGCAACGAGGGGAGAGUAUUGUCUAGUACCCUCGUAGACCGAAGCGGAAGCGUUGACGCAACGUAGAGGAAGUAGUCGUACGUCCUCCGGUUCAACCGAUCCAAGUACCGUUACUCCGGCACCUCCGAGUUCUUGACACGCGUACAACUCGAUGACGCACCCUCGAUCUCCGAUCCAGCAGAGGCGCCGAGGGGGAGUUCCGUCAGCACGACGGCGUGGUGACGAUCUUGAUGUUCUCGUGUUGCAGGGCUUCGCCUAAGCACCGCUACAAUAUGACCGAGGUGUAAUAUCGUGGAGGGGGGCACCGCACACGGCUAAGGAACGAUCAAUGAUCAACUUGUGUGUUCUAGGGUGCCCCCUACCCCCGUAUAUAAAGGAGGGAGGGAGGAGGUGGCCGGCCCUAGGGGGGGCGCGCCAUGAGGAGGGGGAAACCUACUCCAAGUAGGUUUCCCUCUCUUUUCCUUAUCUUAUUUGGAGGGGGAAGGAAAGAGUACUAGUAUUAGGAAGUAGUACUAGUAGUAGUAAUAGGAAGAGGAGGAAGGAGAAAGGAAAGGGGGGGCCGGCCCCCCUCCCCAAUUCGGAUUGGGCUUGGGGGGGCGCGCCCCCCUCCCUUGCUCCUUCUCUCUUCCUCCUACAUGGGCCCAAUAAGGCCCAUAUACCUCCCGGGGGGUUCCGGUAACCUCUCGGGGCUCCAAACUUCUCCGGAACCUUUCCGGUGUCCAAAUAUAUCCGUCCAAUAUAUCAAUAUUUAUGUCUCGACCAUUUCGAGACUCCUCGUCAUGUCCGUAAUCAUAUCCGGGACUCCGAACAACCUUCGGUACAUCAAAAUACAUAAACUCAUAAUAUAACUGUCAUCGAAACCUUAAGCGUGCGGACCCUACGGUUCGAGAACGAUGUAUACAUGACUGAGACACAUCUCUGCUCAAUAACCAAUAGCGGGACCUGGAUGCCCAUAUUGGUUCCUACAUAUUCUACGAAGAUCUUUAUCGGUCAAACCGCAUAACAACAUACAUUGUUCCCUUUGUCAUCGGUAUGUUACUUGUCCGAGAUUCGAUCGUCGGUAUCCAAUACCUAGUUCAAUCUCGUUAUCGACAAGUCUCUUUACUCGUUCUGUAAUACUUCAUCUUAUAACUAACUCAUUAGUUACAUGCUUGCAAGGCUUAGGUGAUGAGCAUUGUCGAGAGGGCCCAGAGAUACCUCUCCGACAAUCGGAGUGACAAAACCUAAUCUCGAAUUAUGCUAACUCAACAUGUACCUUCGGAGACACCUGUAGUACUCCUUUAUAAUCACCCAGUUACGUUGUGACGUUUGGUAGUACCCAAAGUGUUCCUCCGGUAAACGGGAGUUACACAAAUCUCAUAGUUACAGGAACAUGUAUAAGUCAUGAAGGAAGCAAUAGCAGAAUACUAAACGAUCAAGUGCUAAGCUAACGGGAUGGGUCAUGUCAAUCACCUCAUUCUCCUAAUGAUGUGAUCCCAUUAAUCAAAUGACAACACAUGUCAAUGGUUAGGAAACAUAACCAUCUUUGAUUAAUGAGCUAGUCAAGUAGAGGCAUACUAGUGACUAUAUGUUUGUCUAUGUAUUCACACAUGUAUCAUGUUUCCGGUUAAUACAAUUCUAGCAUGAAUAAUAAACAUUUAUCAUGAUAUGAGGAAAUAAAUAAUAACUUUAUUAUUGCCUCUAGGGCAUAUUUCCAUCAGUCUCCCACUUGCACUAGAGUCAAUAAUCUAGAUUACAUAGUAAUGAUUCUAACACCCAUGGAGUCUUGGUGCUGAUCAUGUUUUGCUCGUGAGAGAGGCUUAGUCAACGGGUCUGCAACAUUCAGAUCCGUAUGUAUCUUGCAAAUCUCUAUGUCUCCCACUUGGACUUGGUCCCGAAUGGAAUUGAAGCGUCUCUUGAUGUGCUUGGUCCUCUUGUGAAAUCUGGAUUCCUUUGCCAAGGCAAUUGCACCAAUAUUGUCACAGAAGAUCUUCAUUGGUCCCGAUGCACUAGGUAUGACACCUAGAUCGGAAAUGAACUCCUUCAUCCAGACUCCUUCAUUUGCUGCUUCAGAAGCAGCUAUGUACUCCGCUUCACAUGUAGAUCCCGCCACAACGCUUUGUUUAGAACUGCACCAACUUACAGGUCCACCGUUUAAUAAAAACACGUAUCCGGUCUGCGAUUUAGAAUCGUCCAGAUCAGUGUCAAAGCUUGCAUCGACGUAACCAUUUACGACUAGCUCUUUGUCACCUCCAUAUAUGAGAAACAUAUCCUUAGUCCUUUUCAGGUAUUUCAGGAUGUUCUUGACCGCUGUCCAGUGAUCCACUCCUGGAUUACUUUGGUACCUACCUGCCAAGCUUAUUGCUAAGCAUACGUCAGGUCUGGUACACAGCAUUGCAUACAUGAUAGAGCCUAUGGCUGAAGCAUAGGGAACAUCUUUCAUUUUCUCUCUAUCUUCUGCUGUGGUCGGGCAUUGAGUUUGACUCAACUUUACACCUUGUAGCACAGGCAAGAAUCCUUUCUUUGCUUGAUCCAUUUUGAACUUUUUCAAAAUUUUGUCAAGGUAUGUACUUUGUGAAAGUCCUAUUAAGCGUCUUGAUCUAUCUCUAUAGAUCUUGAUGCCCAAUAUGUAAGCAGCUUCACCGAGGUCUUUCAUAGAAAAACUUUUAUUCAAGUAUCCCUUUAUGCUAUCCAGAAAUUCUAUAUCAUUUCCAAUUAAUAAUAUGUCAUCAACAUAUAAAACUAGAAAUGCUACAGAGCUCCCACUCACUUUCUUGUAAAUACAGACUUCUCCAAAAGUCUGUAUAAAACCAUAUGCUUUGAUCACACUAUCAAAACGUUUAUUCCAACUUCGAGAUGCUUGCACCAGUCCAUAAAUGGAACGUUGGAGCUUGCACACUUUGUCAGCACUUUUUGGAUCAACAAAACCUUCAGGUUGCAUCAUAUACAACUCUUCUUCUAGAAAUCCAUUCAAGAAUGCAGUCUUGACAUCCAUUUGCCAAAUUUCAUAAUCAUGAAAUGCAGCAAUAGCCAACAUGAUUCGGACAGACUUAAGCAUCGCUACGGGUGAGAAAGUCUCAUCGUAGUCAACCCCUUGAACUUGUCGAAAACCUUUUGCAACAAGUCGAGCUUUGUAGACAGUAACAUUACCAUCAGCGUCAGUCUUCUUCUUAAAGAUCCAUUUAUUCUCAAUGGCUUGCCGAUCAUCGGGCAAGUCAACCAAAGUCCAUACUUUGUUUUCAUACAUGGAUCCUAUCUCAGAAUUCAUGGCCUCUAGCCAUUUUGCGGAAUCUGGGCUCAUCAUCGCUUCCUCAUAGUUCGUAGGUUCAUCAUGGUCUAGUAACAUGACUUCAAGAAUAGGAUUUCCGUACCACUCUGGUGCGGAUCUUACUCUGGUAGACCUACUAGGUUCAGUAGAAACUUGAUCUGAAGUUUCAUGAUCAAUAUCAUUAGCUUCCUCACUAAUUGGUGUAGUUGUCACAGGAACCGGUUCUUGUGAUGAACUACUUUCCAAUAAGGGAGUAGAUACAGUUAUCUCAUCAAGUUCUACUUUCCUCCCACUCACUUCUUUCGAGAGAAACUCCUUCUCUAGAAAGGAUCCGAUUUUAGCAACGAAAAUCUUGCCUUCAGAUCUGUGAUAGAAGGUGUACCCAAUUGUCUCCUUUGGGUAUCCUAUGAAGACACAUUUCUCCGAUUUGGGUUCGAGCUUAUCUGGUUGAAGUUUCUUCACAUAAGCAUCGCAGCCCCAAACUUUGAGAAAUGACAACUUUGGUUUCUUGCCAAACCACAGUUCAUAAGGCGUCGUCUCAACGGAUUUUGAUGGUGCCCUAUUUAACGUGAAUGCGACCGUCUCUAAAGCAUAACCCCAAAACGAUAGCGGUAAAUCGGUAAGAGACAUCAUAGAUCGCACCAUAUCAAGUAAAGUACGAUUACGACGUUCGGACACACCAUUUCGCUGUGGUGUUCCAGGUGGCGUGAGUUGCGAAACUAUUCCACAUUGUUUCAAAUGUAAACCAAACUCGUAACUCAAAUAUUCUCCUCCACGAUCAGAUCGUAGAAACUUUAUUUUCUUGUUACGAUGAUUUUCUACUUCACUCUGAAAUUCUUUGAACUUUUCAAAUGUUUCAGACUUGUGCUUCAUCAAGUAGAUAUACCCAUAUCUGCUCAAAUCAUCUAUGAAGGUGAGGAAAUAACGAUAUCCGCCACGAGCCUCAACAUUCAUCGGACCACAUACAUCUGUAUGUAUGAUUUCCAACAAAUCUGUUGCUCUCUCCAUAGAUCCGGAGAACGGUGUUUUGGUCAUCUUGCCCAUGAGGCACGGUUCGCAAGUACCAAGUGAUUCAUAAUCAAGUGAUUCCAGAAGUCCAUCAGUAUGGAGUUUCUUCAUGCGUUUUACACCGAUAUGACCUAAACGGCAGUGCCACAAAUAUGUUGCACUAUCAUUAUCAACUCUGCAUCUUUUGGCUUCAACAUUAUGAAUAUGUGUAUCACUACUAUCGAGAUUUAAUAAAAAUAGAGCACUCUUCAAGGGUGCAUGACCAUAAAAGAUAUUACUCAUAUAAAUAGAACAACCAUUAUUCUCUGAUUUAAAUGAAUAACCGUCUCGCAUCAAACAAGAUUCAGAUAUAAUGUUCAUGCUCAACGCAGGCACCAAAUAACAAUUAUUCAGGUCUAAAACUAAUCCUGAUGGUAGAUGUAGAGGUAGCGUGCCGACCGCGAUCACAUCGACUUUGGAACCAUUUCCCACGCGCAUCGUCACCUCAUUCUUAGCUAAUCUUCGCUUAAUCCGUAGUCCCUGUUUCGAGUUGCAAAUGUUAGCAACAGAACCAAUAUCAAAUACCCAGAUGCUACUGCGAGCAUUAGUAAGGUACACAUCAAUAACAUGUAUAUCACAUAUACCUUUGUUCACUUUGCCAUCCUUCUUAUCCGCCAAAUACUUGGGGCAGUUCCGCUUCCAGUGUCCAGUCUGCUUGCAGUAGAAGCACUCAGUUUCAGGCUUAGGUCCAGACUUGGGUUUCUUCACUUGAGCAGCAACUUGUUUGCCGUUCCUUUUGAAGUUCCCCUUCUUUUUCCCUUUGUCCCUUUUCUUGAAACCAGUGGUCUUGUUGACCAUCAACACUUGAUGCUCCUUUUUGAUUUCUACCUCCGCGGCUUUCAGCAUCGCGAAGAGCUCGGGAAUAGUCUUGUUCAUCCCUUGCAUAUUAUAGUUCAUCACAAAGCUCUUGUAGCUUGGUGGCAGUGAUUGGAGAAUUCUGUCAAUGACGCUAUCAUCCGGAAGAUUAACUCCCAGUUGAAUCAAGUGAUUAUUAUACCCAGACAUUUUGAGUAUAUGCUCACUGACAGAACUGUUCUCCUCCAUCUUGCAGCUGUAGAACUUAUUGGAGACUUCAUAUCUCUCAAUCCGGGCAUUUGCUUGAAAUAUUAACUUCAACUCCUGGAACAUCUCAUAUGCCCCAUGACGUUCAAAACUUCGUUGAAGACCCGGUUCUAAGCCGUAAAGCAUGGCACACUGAACUAUAGAGUAGUCAUCAGCUUUGCUCUGCCAGACGUUCUUAACGUUGUCAGUUGCAUCAGCAGCAGGCCUGGCACCGAGCGGUGCUUCCAGGACGUAACUCUUCUGUGCAGCAAUGAGGAUAAUCCUCAGGUUACGGACCCAGUCCGUGUAAUUGCUACCAUCAUCUUUCAACUUUGCUUUCUCAAGGAACGCAUUAAAAUUCAACGGAACAAUAGCACGAGCCAUCUAUCUACAUACAAACAUAGACAAGCAAAAUACUAUCAGGUACUAAGUUCAUGAUAAAUUUAAGUUCAAUUAAUCAUAUUACUAAAGAACUCCCACUUAGACAGACAUCUCUCUAGUCAUCUAAGUGAUUACGUGAUCCAAAUCAACUAAACCAUGUCCGAUCAUCACGUGAGAUGGAGUAGUUUCAAUGGUGAACAUCUCUAUGUUGAUCAUAUCUACUAUAUGAUUCACGCUCGACCUUUCGGUCCCCGUGUUUCGAGGGCAUAUCUGUAUAUGCUAGGCUCGUCAAGUAUAACCUGAGUAUUCCGCGUGUGCAACAGUUUUGCACCCGUUGUAUUUGAACGUAGAGCCUAUCACACCCGAUCAUCACGUGGUGUCUCAGCACGAAGAACUUUUGCAACGGUGCAUACUCAGGGAGAACACUUCUUGAUAAUUAGUGAGAGAUCAUCUUAAAAUGCUACCGUCAAACAAAGCAAGAUAAGAUGCAUAAAGGAUAAACAUCACAUGCAAUCAAUAUAAGUGAUAUGAUAUGGCCAUCAUCAUCUUGUGCUUGUGAUCUCCAUCUUCGAAGCACCGUCUUGAUCACCAUCGUCACCGGCGCGACACCUUGAUCUCCAUCGUAGCAUCGUUGUCGUUACGCCAUCUAUUGCUUCUACGACUAUCGCUACCGCUUAGUGAUAAAGUAAAGCAAUUACAGGGUGUUUGCAUUUCAUACAAUAAAGCGACAACCAUAUGGCUCCUGCCAGUUGCCGAUAACUUCGGUUACAAAACAUGAUCAUCUCAUACAAUAAAAUAUAGCAUCAUCUCUUGGCCAUAUCACAUCACAACAUGCCCUGCAAAAACAAGUUAGACGUUCUCUACUUUGUUGUUGCAAAUUUUACGUGGCUGCUACGGGCUUAAGCAAGAACCAAUCUCACCUACGCAUCAAAACCACAACGAUAGUUUGUCAAAUAGACUCCGUUUUAACCUUCACAAGGACCGGGCGUAGCCACACUCGGUUCAACUAAAGUGAGAGAGACAGACACCCGCCAGCCACCUUUAAGCACGAGUGCUCGUAACGGUGAAACCAGUCUCGCGUAAGCGUACGCGUAAUGUCGGUCCGGGCCGCUUCAUCUCACAAUACCGCUGAACCAAAGUAUGACAUGCUGGUAGGCAGUAUGACUUAUAUCGUCCACAACUCACUUGUGUUCUACUCGUGCAUAUAACAUCAACACAUAAAACCUGGCUCGGAUGCCACUGUUGGGGAACGUAGUAAUCUCAAAAAAUUUCCUACGCACACGCAAGAUCAUGGUGAUGAUAUAGCAACGAGGGGAGAGUGUUGUCUACGUACCCUCGUAGACCGAAGCGGAAGCGUUGACGCAACAUAGAGGAAGUAGUCGUACGUCCUCCGGUUCAACCGAUCCAAGUACCGUUACUCCGGCACCUCCGAGUUCUUGACACGCGUACAGCUCGAUGACGCACCCUCGAUCUCCGAUCCAGCAGAGGCGCCGAGGGGGAGUUCCGUCAGCACGACGGCGUGGUGACGAUCUUGAUGUUCUCCUGUUGCAGGGCUUCGCCUAAGCCCCGCUACAAUAUGACUGAGGUGUAAUAUCGUGGAGGGGGGCACCGCACACGGCUAAGGAACGAUCAAUGAUCAACUUGUGUGUUCUAGGGUGCCCCCCUACCCCCGUAUAUAAGGAGGGAGGGAGGAGGUGGCCGGCCCUAGGGGGGGUGCGCCAUGAGGAGGGGGAAACCUACUCCAAGUAGGUUUCCCUCUCUUUUCCUUAUCUUAUUUGGAGGGGGAAGGAAAGAGUACUAGUAUUAGGAAGUAGUACUAGUAGUAGUAAUAGGAAGAGGAGGAAGGAGAAAGGAAAGGGGGGGCCGGCCCCCCCUCCCCAAUUCGGAUUGGGCUUGGGGGGGGGGGGCGCCCCCCUCCCUUGCUCCUUCUCUCUUCCUCCUACAUGGGCCCAAUAAGGCCCAUAUACCUCCCGGGGGGUUUCGGUAACCUCCCGGGGCUCCAAACUUCUCCGGAACCUUUCCGGUGUCCAAAUAUAUCCGUCCAAUAUAUCAAUCUUUAUGUCUCGACCAUUUCGAGACUCCUCGUCAUGUCCGUAAUCAUAUCCGGGACUCCGAACAACCUUCGGUACAUCAAAAUACAUAAACUCAUAAUAUAAUUGUCAUCGAAACCUUAAGCGUGCGGACCCUACGGUUCGAGAACGAUGUAGACAUGACUGAGACACAUCUCUGCUCAAUAACCAAUAGCGGGACCUGGAUGCCCAUAUUGGUUCCUACAUAUUCUACGAAGAUCUUUAUCGGUCAAACCGCAUAACAACAUACGUUGUUCCCUUUGUCAUCGGUAUGUUACUUGUCCGAGAUUCGAUCGUCGGUAUCCAAUACCUAGUUCAAUCUCGUUAUCGACAAGUCUCUUUACUCGUUCUGUAAUACUUCAUCUUAUAACUAACUCAUUAGUUACAUGCUUGCAAGGCUUAGGUGAUGAGCAUUGUCGAGAGGGCCCAGAGAUACCUCUCCGACAAUCGGAGUGACAAAACCUAAUCUCGAAUUAUGCUAACUCAACAUGUACCUUCGGAGACACCUGUAGUACUCCUUUAUAAUCACCCAGUUACGUUGUGACGUUUGGUAGUACCCAAAGUGUUCCUCCGGUAAACGGGAGUUACACAAUUCUCAUAGUUACAGGAACAUGUAUAAGUCAUGAAGGAAGCAAUAGCAGAAUACUAAACGAUCAAGUGCUAAGCUAACGGGAUGGGUCAUGUCAAUCACCUCAUUCUCCUAAUGAUGUGAUCCCAUUAAUCAAAUGACAACACAUGUCAAUGGUUAGGAAACAUAACCAUCUUUGAUUAAUGAGCUAGUCAAGUAGAGGCAUACUAGUGACUAUAUGUUUGUCUAUGUAUUCACACAUGUAUCAUGUUUCCGGUUAAUACAAUUCUAGAAUGAAUAAUAAACAUUUAUCAUGAUAUGAGGAAAUAAAUAAUAACUUUAUUAUUGCCUCUAGGGCAUAUUUCCUUCAAUUUGUACAAAUCAGUGAGGAAGCAUUGCAAGGACCUGAUUAUGCAGAAACAACAGAUAUAGAUGACACAAGCAGUAGUGAUGAAUCAGAGUUUGAAACAUGCACACAAUUUUCAAGAACAUCUUCCAUAUUAUCCAUGAUGAUACUGUUGGAAAUAUGCCCUAGAGGCAAUAAUAAAAGCAUUAUUAUUAUAUUUCCUUGUUCAUGAUAAUUUUCUUUUAUUAAUGCUAUAAUUGUAUUAUCCGGAAAUCAUAAUACACGUGUGAAUACAUAGACCACAAUAUGUCCCUAGUAAGCCUCUAGUUGACUAGCUCGUUGGUCAACAGAUAGUCAUGGUUUCCUGACUAUGGACAUUAGAUGUCAUUGACAACGGGAUCACGUCAUUAGGAGAAUGACGUGAUGGACAAGACCCAAUCCUAAGCAUAGCACAAGAUCGUGUAGUUCGUUUUGCUAGAGCUUUUCCAAUGUCAAGUAUCUCUUCCUUAGACCAUGAGAUCGUGUAACUCCCGGAUACCGUAGGAGUGCUUUGGGUGUACCAAACGUCACAACAUAACUGGGUGACUAUAAAGGUGCACUACAGGUAUCUUCGAAAGUGUCUGUUGGGUUGACACGGAUCGAGACUGGGAUUUGCCACUCCGUAUGACGGAGAGGUAUCUCUGGGCCCACUCGGUAAUGCAUCAUCAUAAUGAGCUCAAAGUGACCAAGUGUUUGGUCAUGGGAUCAUGCAUUACGGUACGAGUAAAGUGACUUGCCGGUAACGAGACUUAACGAGGUAUUGGGAUACCGACGAUCGAGUCUCGGGCUUGUAACGUACCGAUUGACAAAGGGAAUAGUAUACGGGGUUGCUUGAAUCCUCGACAUCGUGGUUCAUCCGAUGACAUCAUCGAGGAGCAUGUGGGAGCCAACAUGGGUAUCCAGAUCCCGCUGUUGGUUAUUUACCGUAGAGCCAUCUCGGUCAUGUCUGCGUGUCUCUCGAACCCGUAGGGUCUACACACUUAAGGUUCAGUGACGCUAGGGUUAUUAGGAAGACUUGUAUGUGAUUACCGAAUGUUGUUCGGAGUCCCGGAUGAGAUCCCGGACGUCACGAGGAGUUCCGGAAGGGUCCGGAGGUAAAGAUUUAUAUAUGGGAAGUGGUCAUGCGGACACCGGAAAGUUUCGGUGACAUAUCGUAUUGUACCGGGGCCACCGGAAGGGUUCCGGGGUCCACCGGGAGGGGCCACCCCUCUUGGUGGGCCACAUGGGCCGCGUGGGGCAGGGCACCAGCCCUUGGAGGGCUGGGAGCCCCCCCUUGGGCCCAUGCGCCUAGGGUUGGGGGGGGGCAACCCUAGAGGGGGCGCCCCCCUUUGCUUGGGGGGCAAGUCCCCCCUCCCUGGCCGCUGCCCCCCCUCUAGAUCCCAUCUAGAGGGGCCGGCCCCCUUGCCCCUUCCCCUAUAAAUAGAGGGGUGAGGGGAGGGCUGCAACAGACAACCCAAGGCGCAACCCCUCCCCUCCCCAACACCUCUCCUCCUCCGUCACGAGCUUGGCGAAGCCCUGCCGGAGUGCUGCUUCUCCACCAACACCAUGCCGUCGUGCUGCCGUUGGAGUUGUCUUCCUCAACCUCUCCUUCCUCCUUGCUGGAUCAAGAUGGAGGAGACGUCGUCCGUUCCGUACGUGUGUUGAACGUGGAGGUGUUGUCCGUUUAGCACUAGGUCAUCGGUGAUCUGAAUCACGGCGAGUACGACUCCAUCAUCCCCGUUCCAUUGAACGCUUCCGCACGCGAUCUACAAGUGGUAUGUAGAUGCAAUCACUCUCCCAUGACUCGUUGCUUAGAUGAACUCAUAGAUGGAUCUUGGUGAAACCGUAGGAAAUUUUUUAAUUUUCUGCAACGUUCCCCAACAGAUACAUAGAUCAUAUUUUUGUAUUUGUUGGAAGCGGAUAGAUUGAUAUGUACAAAAGAAGUCAAGUUAUAGGUAAUACAGAGAACCUCACCACAUUCAUGAUUAUAACUAAACUUGCAUGAAUUCAUCAAAGUCAACUAGAUUUAGAUCAUGCAAAGACAAAUUAUUGUUCCAUUUAUAUAACUGCAAACAAAGACAACCUACACAUGGGAUGGGGAACAACCCAUAAAAUACACAAGUUUCAUAUUAGCCAUGAUUAUACAAAAGAAUUGCAGUGGCUGAGUAAACACAUACACAUAGAUUGAUACCUACAAAAUAAGUAAAGUUAUAAAGAAAUGAUUAAUACAACUCACCAUCCGCCUGAAGCAAUCCUCAUCGAGGAGAACAAUAAACACUUCAGGAACUUCUUCAGGUGGCACGAAAGGAAGGCACAGAGCACCCGGACAGCGACAUAUGGGGGCAAACCAUAGCUACAGAAAAUAAAAAUAAAAAGCUUAAAUAAAAAGGAAAUUUUAUCUAAAUUACCCAACAGGGGAUAAGAAAAUUGGACAACCUAAAUGAACUAUAAAACAAAAAAAUACAUUCUAAUUAUAGCACAGACUUGCAUGAAUCUAAUUAUGCACAUAAAAAAGAGACCUCAAAAAAUGAAUUCCUACUCAAUGUAGAUAUGUUCAAAGAAGUGAAGCUAUAAGUAAUACACACAACCUCCCUAAAAUUCAUGAUUAUAGCUGAAGAAAUUGCAUGAUCAUUGAACUAAACUUGCAUAAAUUGCUAAAUAGCAAGGGGAUUUACAUCGUGGAGAUAGACAAAAGAACAUUAUUUAAAGUUGAUAACUACAAACACAUACAACAAUCAAACUACUAAAAAUUCAAAUAUUAGAAUAACACAUCAUCAUGCUAUUACUGCAAAGAUUCAAGUAACAAGCAUGCACCAGUAAAAAAGCUUGAAAAGUGUACUCAUGUAGGAUUAGGCAUUUCACCUAACUAUAUUCACUUAACAAUACUUUUUUUAGAUUAAAUAUGCACACACAUUAUUAAAAGUAAAAACAUCAUAGGCAUUUAUUAUGAACCUAAAAAAAUCUACCUACAUUACACAAGCACCCUUCACAAUUUGCACAAAUGAAAGCAAGAUAAAGAAGGAUUUAAUAGGAUACAGUACAAAAAUGAAAAGCACAAAAUGCUAGAAAAAACAUCUAAUUACCCAACAAGGUAUGAGAAACUUGCACAACCUAGAUGAACUAUGAAAACAUAAAAAAUUACAUGAUCAGUAGCAUGGACUAUAUUGCACAUAAAAAAGAAACCUCAAAAUGAUUUCCUACUGUAGAUAGAUAUCUACAAAGAACCUCCCUAGGACUCAUGAUUAUAACUGAAGAAAUUGCAUGUUCACGAAACUAAACUUGCAUAAAUAUCUCAACAGCAAAGGGAUUACUGCAAGAUUCAGGUAACAAGCAUGCAUCAGUAAAAAUCUUGAAAGUUUACUAAUGCAGCAUUAUGAAUUCAUUUAAUUUUACAUCUCUUAGAUUAAAUUUGCACACACAGUACUAACAGAUAAAAUAUGAACCUAAAAGGCCUACCUAAAUUGCACAAGCAGCCUUCACAAAAUAUCCACAUAUGAAAAAAGCAAGAUAAAAGAGGGAUUUAACAGGAUAGAGUACAAUAUGAAAAGUACAAACUGCUGCAAAUACAUACAUGAUAUACAAAAAAUAUUUUAAAACUAACCCAACUAAAACACCAAUAUACUAAAGAUAGGAACAAGCAUAUUAUAAGUACAGGAACCAAAACAACAAGCAUCAGUAUACUAAAAUCUAUGAAAAAGCAUAGUAUAAAUACAGAAACCAAAACUACAAAGCAUCAAUAUACUAAAAUCUAAGAACAAAACAUAGUUAAAAAACUGUAAGGAUUUGACAUAACAUAGAGCAAACACACAGUGCAUACAAAAAAAUCACUAAAUCAACAAUGACCUAGAAAUAGCAUUAGAAUAACAAUAUGCACAGAAAAUAUUUGACCUUUCAAGACAUAUAGUUUAGGGAUUAACCAAAUAACACUUACUAGCCAAAGUUAGAGCAAAUCUGAAAGGACUACAGAAAUCGUAACCAAAGCAUCAUAAACAAAGAACCCUAACCAUACUACUCGUACUACCACCAAAAACGCCAAUCUGAAGAAACCCUUACCAGACAUAAAUUAGAGCUAAUCAGAAGAAUACAAAAACCCUAACCGAAUCAUGAUAAACAUAAAAACAAAACUAUCUACUCGCAGCCCUAACUGAACACUAACCAUCUACUCGCAUUACCACAAAAAAAUAGAUCCCUAACCUGGCAAACAUUAGAGCAGAUCUGAAGAACACAGAAACAGUAAACAAAAGCAUGCUAAACAAGAAACCCCAUCCAUACUACUCUUACUACCACCAAAAACAAUACAGAAAGGAGAUUCAAGAAAGGAAAAAUACCUGGAAAAGAGGAGAUGCAGUAAAGGAAAUCGCUGAAUCAAGAAUGGCCGAGAUGUAAAUCAUGCAAACAGAAGAGCAACACAAACAUAAAGAAGCACCUUAGUUUCUUCAAAAACUAGAACAGAUCUAACAAGAAACAUACAGAAAGGAGAUUCAAGAAAAGAAAAAUACCUGGAAAAGAGGAGAUGCAGCAAAGGAAAUCGCUGAAUCAAGAAAAUGGCCAAGAUGUAAAUCCUGCAAACAAAAGAGCAACACAAACAUAAAGAAGCACCUUAGUUUCUUCAGAAACUAGAGCAGAUCUAACAAGAAACAUAGCUGGGAGGAAGUCACAACAGAGGACGAACUGGAUGAACCCUAGCUCUCGUAGGAAGAGGAGAUGACACAGAGCGAGAAGAGAGACUGAAGCAGCGAGGGGAAAGUGACUGACAAGAUACGAGAAGGGAGGAGAUAAGACCAGAACGGGCGACGCUCGGCAUCCAUAGCACCGGGCUGGGCUGCCAGCCUGUUAACGGGCGGCGUAGUCGUAGAAAACGGGCGCCCGCAAGCACAAUAAGCCCAAAAGCACAUUCGACUGACCCAAACAAGAGUCAGUCAAUUUCAGCUAGGCCCAACUGACUAGAAAAAACAUCAAAAAAGAAAAAGAAAGAACAAAUCUCAAAGCAAAAUCCAACUGUCAGAAAAUCAACUGACCCAAAAUCAAAAACUCAGCUGACUGAAAUAUAGAUAAAUUGUGCUGCGUGUCCCGAAAUCCGCAUGGCGAUUUCCCGAAAGCUACGACUCCACCCAGCUAUGCCAUGAGUCCAUGGCAUACUCCUACAUCGCACAAGAUCCGAUGAGAGAUUGGUACGGUCUGUGAUUGGUGUGAGACGAUGCAAAACCCGGGGAGGCACAUGCAGCUGGUAUCGACGGCCGGAGAGCGCCGGGCCACAUGCACGAGCACAGCGCCUCCGCCACCACCUGAUUGCCGACCGCGCGCCGCGGGGAUCCACCAAACCACCGCGCAUGGGCUCGAUCGAUCGGACCAGAAACGGUUCUCUUUCCGUCUUCAGCUUUUCCCGGCACACGCCGAUGCGAUGUGGCCAUGCAUGUGAGCCUGCGUACUACCCACCGUGCCUAGACGCAAGCAUGCAAGCAUGGUACGCCACUGUACUGUACGCUUCACAUGUGUGUCCCCUUUUUUCUGAAGCGUAUAAAUCAUUUUGAUCAGACUGGCAGCGGCACCAACAGUGAGCUUGAUACCGAUGACCAGUCUACCAUAUUUUGGCACCUGGCCAACGCCUGACCGGCCAGUCUGCCUCGUGAUGCGCUCUCCUGUUCCUGUACGUGGCAAGUCUUUCCGCGUCUCCAACAACAACAACAACAACAACAACAACAACAACAAAGCCUUUAGUCCCAAACAAGUUGGGGUAGGCUAGAGGUGAAACCCAUAAGAUCUCGCAACCAACUCAUGGCUCUGGCACAUGGAUAGCAAGCUUCCACGCACCCCUGUCCAUAGCUAGCUCUUUGUCGAUACUCCAAUCUUUCAGGUCUCUCUUAACGGACUCCUCCCAUGUCAAAAUCGGUCGCCCCGCCCUCUCUUGACAUUCUCCGCACGCUUUAGCCGUCCGCUAUACACUGGAGCUUCUGGAGGCCUGCGCUGAAUAUGCCCAAACCAUCUCAAAUGAUGUUGGACAAGCUUCUCCUCAAUUGGUGCUACCCCAACUCUAUCUCGUAUAUCAUCAUUCCGGACUCGAUCCUUCCUCGUGUGGCCACACAUCCAUCUCAACAUACGCAUCUCCGCACACCUAACUGUUGAAUAUGUCGCCUUUUAGUCGGCCAACACUCCGCGCCAUACAACAUUGCGGGUCGAACCGCCGUCCUGUAGAACUUGCCUUUUAGCUUUUGUGGCACUCUCUUGUCACAGAGAAUGCCAGAAGCUUGGCGCCACUUCAUCCAUCCGGCUUUGAUUCGACGGUUCACAUCUUCAUCAAUACCCCCAUCCUCCUGCAACAUUGACCCCAAAUAUCGAAAGGUGUCCUUCCGAGGUACCACCUGGCCAUCAAGGCUAACCUCCUCCUCCUCACAGCUAGUAGUACUGAAACCGCACAUCAUGUACUCGGUUUUAGUUCUACUAAGCCUAAACCCUUUCGAUUCCAAGGUUUGUCUCCAUAACUCUAACUUCCUAUUUACCCCCGUCCGACUAUCGUCAACUAGCACCACAUCAUCCGCAAAGAGCAUACACCAUGGGAUAUCUCCUUAUAUACCCCUUGUGACCUCAUCCAUCACCAAUGCAAAAAGAUAAGGGCUCAAAGCUGACCCCUGAUGCAGUCCUAUCUUAAUCGGGAAGUCAUCGGUGUCGACAUCACUUGUUCGAACACUUGUCACAACAUUAUUGUACAUGUCCUUGAUGAGGGUAAUGUACUUUGCUGGGACUUUGUGUUUCUCCAAGGCCCACCACAUGACAUUCCGCGGUAUCUUAUCAUAGGCCUUCUCCAAGUCAAUGAACACCAUAUGCAAGUCCUUCUGAUGCUCCCUAUAUCUCUCCAUAAGUUGUCGUACCAAGAAAAUGGCUUCCAUGGUCGACCUCCCAGGAUGAAACCAAACUGAUUUUUGGUCACGCUUGUCAUUCUUCUUAAGCGGUGCUCAAUGACUCUCUCCCAUAGCUUCAUUGUAUGGCUCAUCAGCUUAAUUCCACGGUAAUUAGUACAACUCUGAACAUCCCCCUUGUUCUUGAAGAUUGGUACUAAUAUACUCCGUCUCCAUUCUUCUGGCAUCUUGUUUGCCCGAAAAAUAAGGUUGAAAAGCUUGGUUAGCCAUACUAUCGCUAUGUCCCCGAGACCUUUCCACACCUCAAUGGGGAUACAAUCAGGGCCCAUCGCCUUGCCUCCUUUCAUCCUUUUUAAAGCCUCCUUCACCUCAGACUCCUGGAUGCGCCGCACAAAACGCAUGCUGGUCUCAUCAAAGGAGUCAUUCAGUUCAAUGGUAGAACUCUCAUUCUCCCCAUUGAACAGCUUGUCGAAGUACUCCCGCCAUCUAUGCUUAAUCUCUUCGUCCUUCACCAAGAGUUGGCCUGCUCCGUCCUUGAUGCAUUUGACUUGGCCAAUAUCCCUCGUCUUCCUCUCCCGGAUCUUAGCCAUCUUAUAGAUGUCCCUUUCACCUUCCUUCGUGCCUAACCGUUGGUAGAGGUCCUCAUAUGCCCGACCCCUUGCUUCACCAACAGCUCGCUUUGCGGCCUUCUUCGCCAUCUUGUACUUCUCUAUGUUGUCUGCACUCCUAUCCAGGUAUAGGCAUCUGAAGCAAUCUUUCUUCUCUUUAAGCGCCUUCUGGACAUCAUCAUUCCACCAUCAGGUAUCCUUAUCUUCGCUUCUCCUUCCCCUGGACACUCCAAACUCCUCCGAGGCCACCUUAUGAAUGCAAGUCGCCAUCUUCAUCCACACAUUGUCCGCAUCCCCCCCUUCCUCCCAAGGGCCCUCCUUAAAUACCCUCUCCUU